AUUGAACGCUGGCGGCAGGCCUAACACAUGCAAGUCGAACGGUAGCACAGAGAGCUUGCUCUCGGGUGACGAGUGGCGGACGGGUGAGUAAUGUCUGGGAAACUGCCCGAUGGAGGGGGAUAACUACUGGAAACGGUAGCUAAUACCGCAUGACGUCGCAAGACCAAAGUGGGGGACCUUCGGGCCUCACACCAUCGGAUGUGCCCAGAUGGGAUUAGCUAGUAGGUGGGGUAAUGGCUCACCUAGGCGACGAUCCCUAGCUGGUCUGAGAGGGUGACCAGCCACAAUGGAACUGAGACACGGUCCAGACUCCUACGGGAGGCAGCAGUGGGGAAUAUUGCACAAGGGGCGCAAGCCUGAUGCAGCCAUGCCACGUGUAUGAAGAAGGCCUUCGGGUUGUAAAGUACUUUCAGCGGGGAGGAAGGCGGUGAAGUUAAUAGCUUCACCGAUUGACGUUACCCGCAGAAGAAGCACCGGCUAACUCCGUGCCAGCCGCCGUAAGAC
This 504-nucleotide ribosomal RNA is filed under the name uncultured bacterium. RNAcentral describes it as "partial 16S ribosomal RNA". It matches the Rfam family "Bacterial small subunit ribosomal RNA", at positions 29 to 526 of the family's 1533-position model. The record is from RNAcentral.